CUCUUCUCUUCUCUUCUCUUCUCUUCUCUUCUCUUCUUUCCUUUUCUUUUCUUUCCUUUUCUUUUCACCCUUUGCUGCCUGGUUAUUGUGAAGUUACGAGAGUUCUCUCUAUUUUUUAAGUGCUUCGUGUAUUUACACUCUCAGCCCCCCGACUGGGAAAACAUCUUCAUCGUCUUCCUCACCAUGGUGUCUGCUCCGUCAUGUUCAGGGCACUCUGGCUAAUAUGACAGUUCUGGUGGCGCUGUAAGGACUCGGUUUCUUCAAUGCCAGCAACUUCCUCUAUCAGAAGACUCAGCCUUUCCUUCUCGUGCAGUUAUCUGCCUCCUGGAGGAAAUCAGGAUGAUGUCAAGGAUGAUGAUGGUCUUCAUCUCUGGAAAAGACCACCAAUGAGGCAGCAGGUUACACACAAUCAGCGGCUGGACGCGCUGUUUGGGCCCAGCGGCCGCAUUGCUCGUGGUUCAGGCAGUCUCCUUCUGGAUAAAAGACUUUGGAUACUCCAGGAGUUGGCCUAAUGCCUUCAGCAUGCCAGCAUCGAUAGCCAUCUGGGUCUGUUGGUCUGUUCCUGUGGCAACGCUGCGCUCAGUGCAGAGAGAAGAUGUCAAGGCAUUGAGAUCCCAGUUGGUCACAAACUCUAAGAGCCUGUACAGAAGCCCUGUGGUCGUCACAUGAUGAUGUGCUUAGUGCAUCCUUCAGUGAGGUGGGACAGGGCAGGGCCCAGGAGGUGUCUGAGAGGGAUCCCAUUAUUCCAAUGCCACAGGAGCUGAGAGGGUAUAGACAGCACCUACCUCACUACCUCCGCACAAGGUUAGGGAUUCUUCUUUCGGCAUAUGUUGGACAAAGCCCAUAUGAUGUUCCGAAAAAUGUGAUUGGUAUGCUUGUCGAAAUAAGGUUGAGGCAGGCACAGGAUGGCACUGUUGGAAAUGAUAUUGUCUCUGGAUUCUGGGCUGUCACCAGGCACAUUACUAAGAGUCCACACUGCCUGCUCACACAGGUCAGGUGCAGGGGAGACAGGAGUCCAGUCGGGGGCUGGAUGGCACCCCUUUUCACAACAGCUCUGGUCUGCUCUGAAAGCCCAGGUCGCAUCAAACUUCAGGCUGGGAAGAAGUGCCUCCUUCAAGAACAAUACCAAGUUGGGAAUGAGUUCUGCCGCAACAUGCAAUUUUAGUGAGGGGCUCCUCUCCCGGGGUACCACUUUCCUGGCAGCCUGCGUGGCCAGGAGACACAGGAUUGGAUCUGAGCUAUUCGCCUUUUGACUAUGUCUUCCAGAGUGAGGUUGGACACUUUGACUGGUACUUGAGAACCCACAUCAUUGGAGAAUUGGCUGAUAUUUCUUUUUCUUUAAGGAAACAUGGCAGUGUACAGGCAGAUAUGAUGCUGAGAGGAGCUGAGAGUUCUACAGUUUAAUCCAAAGGAAGCCAGGAAGAAGCUGUCUGUACUGGGUGGAGGUUAAACAUAAGACCUCCAAGCCAACCUCCACCAGCGAUGCACUUCCUCCAACAAGGCGACACCUGCUUCAACAAAGUCGCACAUCCUAACAGUGCCACUUCCCAUGGGUCAGUCAUAUUCAGACUACCACAUCUGUAAAUAUGUGAUUUCUCUAGUGAACAAACAUACCAUAGGAACUGUAUUUGAGUUUUGUCCCUGGGUGGUGGGAUUAAAGAUGUGGGCCACUACCACAUUGCUCACUGUAACUCUAGCAUUUGGAAAACAAGUAACUUACAGAGAUCUGCUUAUCUCUUCUGGGAUUAAAGGCAUGGGCUACUACCAACCCUGCUCAAAUAUUUUAUCUUAUCUCCAAUCCCUGCAACUCUUAGAGACUUAGAAAACAAGUUUGAGCUGUAUUGAUCUUUUAAUUUACUUAAGACAUUUUAAAUCUCUUUGUUGUUUUUGAUGCCAAACAACAAAAAUAUCCUUUUUAUUUAAGAAAACUCAAAAGUUGAUGUCUAAGAUGUCCAAGUGGGCUGCAUGGCAAUCUACAGUCUAACAUUCUAACAUGGGAUUGAGACACGUGGUUUAAGAAAACACAUUUUUCAUUUCAGGACAACAAGGCAAGUGUGACUUUAAUGUUCUCUUGUGUCCUUCUGGCCCUAUACACUUGACCCCUCUUGCACUUUGUCUUACCUGAGAUAAAGUUCCAAUACCUAGAAGCUGAAUAUUUACCUCCUGAAGAGGCCAACCUGGAUGCCAAGAGUUUGGUAAAAUUACUGUUACAUAUAUGCCCCCGUGUCUACUAAACCUUCAAUCCCAAUGCCAUUUAAUGGUAUUUUUAGCUUUGGUCUCUGAUAAUGUAUGGCAAUUUGCCAAGAUCUUUGUUUUCUUGUCUUUCCUGAAUGUUUUGUUUUCUCUCCUGGAACUGUUUUGUCCUUGAUUACAUCCACAGCCAUGUUAUUAUUAUUAUUAUUAUUAUUAUUAUUAUUAUUAUUAUUAUUAUUAUUAUUUUGGUUUUUUGAGACAAGGUUUCUCUGUGUCCCAUGUUAUUUUUAAUUGCUCUGUGGAUGAGUUUCCCUGACGCUGACAGAAAAUGGUUAAAUCAAAUUUGAUGUCAGAGAUGAUGGGAGGACCGGUCAGGUGUUUCCCAGUGGCAAAGGGUUACACUGCCUGCCCCUUGUUGAUCUGCAUUCAUUAGACCAAUGGUGGCUUUUGUCUCACCUUCUGCAUUACUCCCGAAGCCUGGGGCCUUCUCUUUAAAUUAUCUCUUUAAAAAAAAUUAUUUCUUGCCUAUAAUCCCUUUUCAAAUGACCUGGUUUACCACCAUUAAACCAUGUGGCAUUUCUAUUUUUCUAAAA
This is a long non-coding RNA of Mus musculus (house mouse), 2786 nucleotides long. RefSeq annotates it as predicted gene, 32178. Lineage: Eukaryota; Metazoa; Chordata; Mammalia; Rodentia; Muridae. The transcript is spliced from 3 exons. The record is from RefSeq and is a predicted model, not a curated record.